GCCGGGCAUGGCGCAGCGGGAUGCUUCAGCGGGAAACGUUGAUGGUCGGGACGAGACCGACCAUGGCGGCUCAGUCAGCCUUCCCGGCGC
This 90-nucleotide transfer RNA is filed under the name Allobosea sp. LC85. RNAcentral's name for it is "Bosea sp. LC85 tRNA-Phe". Lineage: Bacteria; Pseudomonadati; Pseudomonadota; Alphaproteobacteria; Hyphomicrobiales; Alloboseaceae. The record is from RNAcentral.